CUGCGAUGAUGGCAUUUCUUAGGACACCUUUGGAUUAAUAAUGAAAACAACUACUCUCUGAGCAGC
Molecule: small nucleolar RNA, 66 nt
Organism: Aotus nancymaae (Ma's night monkey)
Lineage: Eukaryota; Metazoa; Chordata; Mammalia; Primates; Aotidae
Gene: SNORD58
Rfam family: Small nucleolar RNA SNORD58
About the family: snoRNA U58 is found in introns 1, 3 and 6 of the ribosomal protein RPL17 gene in humans. U58 is a member of the C/D class of snoRNA which contain C (UGAUGA) and D (CUGA) box motifs.
Source: Ensembl